This 545-nucleotide ribosomal RNA is filed under the name uncultured delta proteobacterium. RNAcentral's name for it is "bacterial SSU rRNA". It matches the Rfam family "Bacterial small subunit ribosomal RNA", at positions 524 to 1071 of the family's 1533-position model. Lineage: Bacteria; Deltaproteobacteria. The record is from RNAcentral.
UACUGCUAGUCCGACCGUCGGAUCCUGGGCGUAAGGGCGCGUAGCGGCGUGCUAGUCAAUGUGAAAUCCCACGGCUCAACCGUGGAAGUGCAUUUGAAACUGGCAUGCUUGAGUACCAGAGGGGAAGGUGGAAUUCCCGGUGUAGAGGUGAAAUUCGUAUAUAUCGGGAGGAAUACCGGUGGCGAAGGCGACUUUCUGGCUGGAUACUGACGCUGAUGCUCGAAAGCGUGGGGAGCAAAUUUGAUUAAAUACCCUGGUAUUCCACCCCGUAAACCAUGUGCACCAAAUGUUGGAAGUGUUGAUCCCAUCAGAGUCAGAUCUGAUUGAUUGUUGUUCCCGCCUGGAAAGUAAGGCCACUAUAUUAAAACUCGGAGGAAUUGACGGGAGGCCGCACAACCGGCGAACUAGGUGGUUUAAUUCUACGUGAACCAUCAAACCUUACCUAUUCUUUACAUCCCAGGUAUUUUUAAGAAACUAAACAGAACUUUCAUUAGAGACCACCUGUUGACACUUGCUGCAUGAAUGCCGCCAACUCGUGUCGAGAG